CCUUGGCUCAACGGUUAGAGCAGGGGACUCAUAAUCCCUUGGUUGCAGGUUCGAAUCCUGCAGGGCC
RNAcentral lists this transfer RNA (67 nucleotides) under bovine gut metagenome. It matches the Rfam family "tRNA", at positions 5 to 66 of the family's 71-position model. From Rfam's summary of the family: Transfer RNA (tRNA) molecules are approximately 80 nucleotides in length. Their secondary structure includes four short double-helical elements and three loops (D, anti-codon, and T loops). The record is from RNAcentral.